AUAUAUGAAUGUCAGCAAUAAGGGGAUGCCUAAAUUAAAUUUUAGGUUAAUAAAUUAAAUUAGAAAUUAUGUAUAAAUAAAAAGGAUUAAUAAAAUGUAAGAUAUCUCAAAAAGUAGUGAAUUGAAACAUCUCAGUAACUAUAAAUUAAAAAAAAAAUUGUAAAGGUAGUAGUGGUGAGCGAACUUUUUAAAGAGAAUUUUUUAAAAAAAAAUAUUAGUUGGAAUGCUAAAUAAAAACUGGUAAAAAUCCAAUAUUUUAAAAAAUGUUUAAAUAAGUAAAUUGUUUUAAGUUAAUUAUAAUUGAAAUAAUAAAGAAGUUAAUAUCUUCUACUCUAAAAAAAUUUAAUGAUAGCAAAGAAAGUACUGCGAGGGAAAGGUGAAAAGAAUAAAAAAAAAUAGUUUAAAAGAUUCUGAAACUUAUUGUAUUAUCAGUUGAUGCUUAAGCUGCAACGUACCUUUUGUAUAAUGGACCGACGAGUUAAUUUUGUUAGCAAGCUUAAAUAAUAGUAGGCGUUAAUAAUUUAAAAAAAGUUAAUAGAAUUAGACCCGAAACUUUGUGAUCUAACUAUGAACAAGCGUAAGGCUGAACCGGUAAAUGUUGCAAAAUUUUCGGAUGAUUUGUGGUUAGGGGUGAAAGAUUUAUCAAACAAAGAGAUAGCUGGUUUUCCGCGAAAAUUAUUUGAGUAAUGCGUUUAAAUAAAAAAAAAAAGAUAAUUAGUUUUAAACUGUCGAUUGGUAGGCACUUAAAAAAUUUAAUAAUGUUUUUUUUUUAAAUAAACAGUUAGUCUAUCAGCGCAAAGGUUGAUAGACAAGAGGGAUACAGCCCAGAUUAUUUAUUAAGGUUCAAAAGUAUUUAUUAAUAUAAAAGAUAGAAAUUUAUCAAAUUAAAAAGGUCGGCGUGGGGGCUGUCAUCCUUUCAAAAAAGCGUCACAGCUUAUUUAAUUAAAAUAAAUUUUUAUUAACAAUUUUGAUAUAAAUAAAUCACCGAAAUAAUAAAUUUAUGGUAGCGGAAUGUUUUGUAUAUCAUAAAAGUAGUAUUGAAAAAUAUUAUGGAGGUAUCAAAAGUAAAUAUGUCGGUAUUAGUAAUCAUAUAAUGUUGAAUCAUUGUUGUUGAAUAUCUAAGAGUUUUAAUGAAAGAAUGAAUCUCAUUAAGUUAUACGAUCCCUAAGAAGAAAAUUAAAAUUUUAUUUGAUGGAGUUUCUAAUUCGACAUUUUUGACAAAAAUCAAGAAAUAAAUUAGAUGUAUAUCGUAUUAAAUCUGACACUAGUAGAUAGGUUGAAUAAACUAAAACAACGAGUGAAUAAUAUUGAAGGAACUCGGCAAAAUUAUUCUGUAACUUCGGGAAAAAGAAUACUUUUUUAUAGUAAAAUAUAAAGAGGUGGCACUAAAGAGAGGGCGACGACUGUUUAAUAAAAACACAGGACUUUGCUAAUUCGAAAGAAGACGUAUAAGGUCUGACUCCUGCCCGGUGCUGCAAAAUGAAAAAGUUAAACAUUUUUAACUAUAAAUUCCAGUAAACGGCGGCUGUAACUCUGACGGUCCUAAGGUAGCGAAGUUCCUUGGCGGGUAAGUUCCGUCCUGCAUGAAUGGAGUAACGAUUGUCCUACUGUCUCCAAUAUUAUCUUGAUGAAAUUGAAUUGGUUGUGAAGAUGCAAUUAUGUACAAUUAGACGGAAAGACCCUAUGCACCUUUACUAUAAUCAUAAACCAGGGACUUUAGUAAGUUAUUAUUAGGAAAGUAACAAUUGUUAAUGAGUACUAUCUUAAUUUUUAAUUUUUCUUUAUCUCAAAUAGAAAUAAAUGAGAGAAAUAUUUUUGAUUGUUAGUUUAACUGGGGCGGUUGCCUUCUAAAAAGUAACGAAGGUGUAAAGUUAUCAAUUUUUAAUCUUAGAUUAAAGGUUGUAAUGAAUAAAUUGAUAAGAUUUAGAUACUAACAAGUAUUUAAAGAGUAAUCUUUUUAUAAUGAUCCGAUAGAUAAUAAUAAACAUUGCUAUCGAUAAACGGAUAAAAGGUACGCUAGGGAUAACAGGCUGAUAAUUUUUUGGAGUUCUUAUUGAAGAAAUUGUUUGGCACCUCGAUGUCGGCUCAUCAUAUCCUGAAGGAGCAUACGCUUUCAAGGGUUUGGCUGUUCGCCAAUUAAAAUGGUACGUGAGCUGGGUUUAGAACGUCGUGAGACAGUUCGGUCCCUAUCUGUUGUACAUUGAAAUAAUAAAAGAGUUUAUCCUAGUACGAGAGGACUGGAGAGAAUUAACCUCUGGUGUAUCGGUUAUAAAAAAAAAAUUUUUGUAUUGCCGGGUAGCUACGUUAAGAAUAGAUAAAUACAUUUUUGUAUGAAUCUAACUUUUAAAAUUUCUAAAUAAGUAAAAAUAGACUAUUUUAUUGUUAUAUGUAA
RNAcentral lists this ribosomal RNA (2392 nucleotides) under Stentor coeruleus. RNAcentral's name for it is "Bacterial large subunit ribosomal RNA". It matches the Rfam family "Bacterial large subunit ribosomal RNA". Lineage: Eukaryota; Ciliophora; Heterotrichea; Heterotrichida; Stentoridae. The record is from Rfam by way of RNAcentral.